This 70-nucleotide transfer RNA is filed under the name Microtermes sp. BDIT8-M2B. RNAcentral describes it as "tRNA-Cys". RNAcentral also lists the same sequence under 1 other name. The record is from RNAcentral. Lineage: Eukaryota; Metazoa; Arthropoda; Insecta; Blattodea; Termitidae.
GGCCUUGUAUUCAUUUUUGUGAUUGUAGAAUGCAAUUCUAUGGGGGUGAGUUGAGUGCUUACCAAGGCCU